GAUGAACGCUGGCGGCGUGCCUAAUACAUGCAAGUCGAGCGAACAGAUGAGGAGCUUGCUCCUCUGACGUUAGCGGCGGACGGGUGAGUAACACGUGGAUAACCUACCUAUAAGACUGGGAUAACUUCGGGAAACCGGAGCUAAUACCGGAUAAUAUAGUGAACCGCAUGGUUCAAUAGUGAAAGACGGUUUUGCUGUCACUUAUAGAUGGAUCCGCGCCGCAUUAGCUAGUUGGUAAGGUAACGGCUUACCAAGGCAACGAUGCGUAGCCGACCUGAGAGGGUGAUCAGCCACACUGGAACUGAGACACGGUCCAGACUCCUACGGGAGGCAGCAGUAGGGAAUCUUCCGCAAUGGGCGAAAGCCUGACGGAGCAACGCCGCGUGAGUGAUGAAGGUCUUCGGAUCGUAAAACUCUGUUAUUAGGGAAGAACAAAUGUGUAAGUAACUAUGCACGUCUUGACGGUACCUAAACAGAAAGCCACGGCUAACUACGUG
This 497-nucleotide ribosomal RNA is filed under the name uncultured bacterium. Its description in RNAcentral is "partial 16S ribosomal RNA". It matches the Rfam family "Bacterial small subunit ribosomal RNA", at positions 28 to 507 of the family's 1533-position model. The record is from RNAcentral.